GUAACGGCGAGUGAAGCGGCAACAGCUCAAAUUUGAAAUCUGGCCCUAGCGGUCCGAAUUGUAAUUUGUAGAGGAUGCUUUUGGUGCGGUGCCUUCCGAGUUCCCUGGAACGGGACGCCAGAGAGGGUGAGAGCCCCGUACGGUUGGACACCUACCCUAUAUAUAGCUCCUUCGACGAGUCGAGUAGUUUGGGAAUGCUGCUCUAAAUGGGAGGUAAAUUUCUUCUAAAGCUAAAUACCGGCCAGAGACCGAUAGCGCACAAGUAGAGUGAUCGAAAGAUGAAAAGCACUUUGAAAAGAGGGUUAAAUAGCACGUGAAAUUGUUGAAAGGGAAGCGUUUACGACCAGACCUCUUCCAGGCGGAUCAUCCGGUGUUCUCACCGGUGCACUUCGUCUGGUUUAGGCCAGCAUCGGUUUUCGUAGGGGGAUAAAGACCUGGGGAACGUAUCUCCUUCGGGAGUGUUAUAGCCCCUCGUGUAAUACCUCUACGGGGACCGAGGACCGCGCACUGCAAGGAUGCUGGCGUAAUGGUCGUCAACGACCCGUCUUGAAACACGGACCAAGGAGUCGAACAUUUGUGCGAGUGUUUGGGUAUUAAACCCUCACGCGUAAUGAAAGUGAACGGAGGUGAGAGCCCUUCGGGGUGCAUCAUCGACCGAUCCUGAUGUCUUCGGAUGGAUUUGAGUAAGAGCAUAACUGUUCGGACCCGAAAGAUGGUGAACUAUGCGUGGAUAGGGUGAAGCCAGAGGAAACUCUGGUGGANGCUCGCAGCGGUUCUGACGUGCAAAUCGAUCGUCAAAUCUGCGCAUGGGGGCGAAAGUAUGUAUUAUCCCGGGGUGUAUACCCUAUAAUUCUCCCCUGGAGACAAUAAACAGUAUGCUAACAACAACUUCUUUAGGACUUAUCGAACCAUCUAGUAGCUGGUUACCGCCGAAGUUUCCCUCAGGAUAGCAGUGUUGUGUUCAGUUUUAUGAGGUAAAGCGAAUGAUUAGGGACUCGGGGGCGCUUUAUUGCCUUCAUCCAUUCUCAAACUUUAAAUAUGUAAGAAGCCCUUGUUACUUAAUUGAACGUGGGCAUUCGAAUGUAUCAACACUAGUGGGCCAUUUUUGGUAAGCAGAACUGGCGAUGCGGGAUGAACCGAACGUGGGGUUAAGGUGCCAGAGUGGACGCUCAUCAGACACCACAAAAGGUGUUAGUACAUCUAGACAGUUGGUAUGUACUAAUCUUUUCUUUUACCCCCUGACGGUCCUGAGGGUUUUGAGGGGAUGGUCAGAUGCAAACUCUUAAAGGCAAUAGUCGCUAUAAGUUUAAAAGCUGGGGGAUGAUGUGUUGUUAUCUCUCACUGCGUUUAUUACUUGUACUUCUCUGUCUGGCGGUGUUAUAAGUUUGAGGGUUGGUAGCCCUAAGGGGCUACCCUACAAAAGAUUCAAAACCUUGUGUACACGCAGGGAGCUUUGGCAUCACGGACCCCACACUUAUAGCUUGUUGUCGAAGAGUUUGCAUCGUGCCUUUAGGCACCUUGUGGCCUGAACUGAAGGAUCAAUGGACCUAAAGGUCUCUGUAUUUUAACGAAACAAAUCACUAAUAACUUAAAUAGGACGGUGGCCAUGGAAGUCGGAAUCCGCUAAGGACUGUGUAACAACUCACCAACCGAAUGUACUAGCCCUGAAAAUGGAUGGCGCUCAAGCGUCUCACCCAUACCUCACCCUUAGGGUAGAAACGAUGCCCUAAGGAGUAGGCGGCCGUAGGGGUCAGUGACGAAGC
This 1763-nucleotide ribosomal RNA is filed under the name Hypoxylon rubiginosum. RNAcentral's name for it is "LSU rRNA". It matches the Rfam family "Eukaryotic large subunit ribosomal RNA", at positions 83 to 1409 of the family's 3401-position model. The record is from RNAcentral. Lineage: Eukaryota; Fungi; Ascomycota; Sordariomycetes; Xylariales; Hypoxylaceae.